Molecule: ribosomal RNA, 495 nt
Filed under: uncultured bacterium
Lineage: Bacteria
Description: partial 16S ribosomal RNA
Rfam family: Bacterial small subunit ribosomal RNA
Source: RNAcentral
GACGAACGCUGGCGGCGUGCCUAAUACAUGCAAGUAGAACGCUGAAGGAGGAGCUUGCUUCUCCGGAUGAGUUGCGAACGGGUGAGUAACGCGUAGGUAACCUGCCUGGUAGCGGGGGAUAACUAUUGGAAACGAUAGCUAAUACCGCAUAACAGUAGACGUUGCAUGACAUUUGCUUAAAAGGUGCAAUUGCAUUACUACCAGAUGGACCUGCGUUGUAUUAGCUAGUUGGUGAGGUAACGGCUCACCAAGGCGACGAUACAUAGCCGACCUGAGAGGGUGAUCGGCCACACUGGGACUUAGACACGGCCCAGACUCCUACGGGAGGCAGCAGUAGGGAAUCUUCGGCAAUGGACGGAAGUCUGACCGAGCAACGCCGCGUGAGUGAAGAAGGUUUUCGGAUCGUAAAGCUCUGUUGUAAGAGAAGAACGAGUGUGAGAGUGGAAAGUUCACACUGUGACGGUAUCUUACCAGAAAGGGACGGCUAACUACGUG